AGUGUAUAGUUUAAUGGGAUAAAACACCAGACAGUAAUCUGGAGUUGGCAGUUCAAAUCUGUCUGCACCACUA
Molecule: transfer RNA, 73 nt
Filed under: Crassvirales sp.
Lineage: Duplodnaviria; Heunggongvirae; Uroviricota; Caudoviricetes; Crassvirales
Description: tRNA-OTHER
Rfam family: tRNA
About the family: Transfer RNA (tRNA) molecules are approximately 80 nucleotides in length. Their secondary structure includes four short double-helical elements and three loops (D, anti-codon, and T loops). Further hydrogen bonds mediate the characteristic L-shaped molecular structure. tRNAs have two regions of fundamental functional importance: the anti-codon, which is responsible for specific mRNA codon recognition, and the 3' end, to which the tRNAs corresponding amino acid is attached (by aminoacyl-tRNA synthetases). tRNAs cope with the degeneracy of the genetic code in two manners: having more than one tRNA (with a specific anti-codon) for a particular amino acid; and 'wobble' base-pairing, i.e. permitting non-standard base-pairing at the 3rd anti-codon position.
Source: RNAcentral